RNAcentral lists this ribosomal RNA (465 nucleotides) under uncultured bacterium. Its description in RNAcentral is "partial 16S ribosomal RNA". It matches the Rfam family "Bacterial small subunit ribosomal RNA", at positions 28 to 507 of the family's 1533-position model. The record is from RNAcentral.
GACGAACGCUGGCGGCGUGCUUAACACAUGCAAGUCGAACGGAAAGGCCCUGCUUGCAGGGUACUCGAGUGGCGAACGGGUGAGUAACACGUGGGUGAUCUGCCCUGCACUUCGGGAUAAGCCUGGGAAACUGGGUCUAAUACCGGAUAGGAGCCAUUUUUAGUGUGAUGGUUGGAAAGUUUUUUCGGUGUAGGAUGAGCUCGCGGCCUAUCAGCUUGUUGGUGGGGUAAUGGCUUACCAAGGCGGCGACGGGUAGCCGGCCUGAGAGGGUGGACGGCCACAUUGGGACUGAGAUACGGCCCAGACUCCUACGGGAGGCAGCGGUGGGGAAUAUUGCACAAUGGGCGCAAGCCUGAUGCAGCGACGCCGCGUGGGGGAUGACGGCCUUCGGGUUGUAAACUCCUUUCGCUAGGGACGAAGCUUUUUGUGACGGUACCUAGAUAAGAAGCACCGGCUAACUACGUG